RNAcentral lists this ribosomal RNA (406 nucleotides) under uncultured microorganism. Its description in RNAcentral is "bacterial SSU rRNA". It matches the Rfam family "Bacterial small subunit ribosomal RNA", at positions 9 to 418 of the family's 1533-position model. The record is from RNAcentral.
GAGUUUGAUCGUGGCUCAGAUUGAACGCUGGCGGCAUGCCUUACACAUGCAAGUCGAACGGUAACAGGUCUUCGGAUGCUGACGAGUGGCGAACGGGUGAGUAAUACAUCGGAACGUGCCCGAUCGUGGGGGGAUAACGAAGCGAAAGCUUUGCUAAUACCGCAUAAGAUCUACGGAUGAAAGCAGGGGACCGCAAGGCCUUGCGCGAACGGAGCGGCCGAUGGCAGAUUAGGUAGUUGGUGGGAUAAAAGCUUACCAAGCCGACGAUCUGUAGCUGGUCUGAGAGGACGACCAGCCACACUGGGACUGAGACACGGCCCAGACUCCUACGGGAGGCAGCAGUGGGGAAUUUUGGACAAUGGGCGAAAGCCUGAUCCAGCCAUGCCGCGUGCAGGAUGAAGGCCUU